CAGAGUGUGAGCUCUCGUAUACAGGCCCAUGCAAAUCCGAAAAAGUUCGACAUUUUUCACUCUGAUACAGCUCUCCAUCACAUCAGGGGAAAACUUUAUGUGCUUCAGCUGUGAAGACCUGACCUGGCUCCUCUGAAUACUGGGCUACAGUCUAAGCAGAGGUGUCUAAGCAAAGGUGUCCAAACUGCUGUUUCGAGCCACUUCAUCUUCUGACAUGUUCAUAUUUUCGUCACCUCCUCUUCACUUGAGCAGUCAAAGUCAUAUUGGGAUCAUUCACUUCCAAGCCCCCCCCCCCUUGUAAAGAUACAUGCUUUAAACUUUGAGUAGAAAAGGUUCACCUGAUGAACAGAUGGGUUGACUACAUUACUCUCUUCCCCAUCCACCUUCUACUGACAGGGUAAGUAGACCAGGGAAGGGUGAAGGGAAAUGAACUAUGUCAAUGAAUCAGCCUGA
RNAcentral lists this long non-coding RNA (453 nucleotides) under Lepisosteus oculatus (spotted gar). RNAcentral's name for it is "lncRNA (ENSLOCG00000022509.1)". The record is from RNAcentral. Lineage: Eukaryota; Metazoa; Chordata; Actinopteri; Semionotiformes; Lepisosteidae.